CCUUAGAGUUUGAUCCUGGCUCAAGAUGACCUUUUGCUACAGGCUUAACACAUGCAAGUCGAGGGGCAGCAUGAACUUAUCUUGCUAAGUUUGAUGGCGACCGGCGCACGGGUGAGUAACACGUAUCCAACCUUCCGUUUACUCAGGGAUAGCCUUUCAAAAGAAAGAUUAAUACCUGAUAGUAUGGUGAGAUUGCAUGAUAGCACCAUUAAAGAUUUAUUGGUAAACGAUGGGGAUGCGUUCCAUUAGGUAGUAGGCGGGGUAACGGCCCACCUAGCCGACGAUGGAUAGGGGUUCUGAGAGGAAGGUCCCCCACAUUGGAACUGAGACACGGUCCAAACUCCUACGGGAGGCAGCAGUGAGGAAUAUUGGUCAAUGGGCGAGAGCCUGAACCAGCCAAGUAGCGUGAAGGAUGAAGGUCCUACGGAUUGUAAACUUCUUUUAUACGGGAAUAAAGUAUCCUACGUGUAGGAUUUUGUAUGUACCGUAUGAAUAAGCAUCGGCUAACUCCGUGCCAGCAGCCGCGGUAAUACGGAGGAUGCGAGCGUUAUCCGGAUUUAUUGGGUUUAAAGGGAGCGCAGACGGGAGAUUAAGUCAGUUGUGAAAGUUUGCGGCUCAACCGUAAAAUUGCAGUUGAUACUGGUUUCCUUGAGUGCAGUUGAGGCAGGCGGAAUUCGUGGUGUAGCGGUGAAAUGCUUAGAUAUCACGAAGAACCCCGAUUGCGAAGGCAGCUUGCUAAACUGUAACUGACGUUCAUGCUCGAAAGUGUGGGUAUCAAACAGGAUUAGAUACCCUGGUAGUCCACACGGUAAACG
RNAcentral lists this ribosomal RNA (815 nucleotides) under uncultured bacterium. Its description in RNAcentral is "bacterial SSU rRNA". It matches the Rfam family "Bacterial small subunit ribosomal RNA", at positions 1 to 808 of the family's 1533-position model. The record is from RNAcentral.